GCAAAUCUAAUCGAAUAAUUCCAAAGCAGGAUCUAUAUAUACCUGGUUUUGUUAAGAAGACAAUACUUUGCUCUAUUGCUAUCCAAAGUCUUCUUCUCUGCAAGACACGAUAAAGCAAUCAAAAGCAGAAAAAUUUUCGAGAAACAAAAAAAAUAGGCAUUAAAAGCUAAAAAAGAGAAGAUAAAAAGAAUAAUGAUAUUUCAAUAUGGCCGUUUAAGAAAAAUUAAAAACUGCAACAAAUCAUGUAGGAAGGGAGGAGUUGUUCGUUAGGCUAGCUCUUAUACUAUGAUUCUUUAUACUUGUUUCGAUAACAAUUCUAUUUCAUUGACAUAUCCUUCUUCUAUAAUAACUCUUUUUAUU
RNAcentral lists this long non-coding RNA (360 nucleotides) under Nicotiana benthamiana. Its description in RNAcentral is "long non-coding RNA (NBEN_LNC015718)". Lineage: Eukaryota; Viridiplantae; Streptophyta; Magnoliopsida; Solanales; Solanaceae. The record is from RNAcentral.